GAUGAACGCUGGCGGCGUGCCUAAUACAUGCAAGUCGAGCGAACAGAUGAGGAGCUUUCUCCUCUGACGUUAUCGGCGGACGGGUGAGUAACACGUGGAUAACCUACCUAUAAGACUGGGAUAACUUCGGGAAACCGGAUCUAAUACCCGAUAAUAUAUUGACCCUCAUUGUUCAAGAGUUAGAUACGGUUGUUCUGUCGCUUAUAGAUUGAUCCGCCCCGCAUUCGCUAGUUGGUAAGGUAACGGCUUAGCAAGGCAGCGAUUCGUAGCCGCCCUAAGCGGGUGAUCGGCCACACUGGCACAGAGACAGGGCCCCGACACCGACGGGAGGCCGCAGUAGGGACUCCUCCGCAAUGCAGGAAAGCCUGACGGAGCAACGCGGCGUGAGUGAUGAAGGUCUUCGGACCGUAAAACUAUGUUAUUAGGGAAGAACAAAUGUGUAAGUACCUAUGCACGUAUUGACGGUACCUAAUCAGAAAGCCACGGCUAACUCCGUG
This 497-nucleotide ribosomal RNA is filed under the name uncultured bacterium. Its description in RNAcentral is "partial 16S ribosomal RNA". It matches the Rfam family "Bacterial small subunit ribosomal RNA", at positions 28 to 507 of the family's 1533-position model. The record is from RNAcentral.